GACGAACGCUGGCGGCGUGCUUAACACAUGCAAGUCGAACGGUAAGGCUCCAGCUUGCUGGGGUACACGAGUGGCGAACGGGUGAGUAACACGUGGGUGACCUGCCCUGCACUUCGGGAUAAGCCUGGGAAACUGGGUCUAAUACCGGAUAGGACCGCACCGUGAGGGUGUGGUGGAAAGUUUUUUCGGUGUGGGAUGGGCCCGCGGCCUAUCAGCUUGUUGGUGGGGUAAUGGCCUACCAAGGCGGCGACGGGUAGCCGGCCUGAGAGGGUGGACGGCCACAUUGGGACUGAGACACGGCCCAGACUCCUACGGGAGGCAGCAGUGGGGAAUAUUGCACAAUGGGCGGAAGCCUGAUGCAGCGACGCCGCGUGGGGGAUGACGGCCUUCGGGUUGUAAACUCCUUUCACCAUCGACGAAGGGUUUCUGACGGUAGAUGGAGAAGAAGCACCGGCUAACUACGUGCCAGCAGCCGCGGUAAUACGUAGGGUGCGAGCGUUGUCCGGAAUUACUGGGCGUAAAGAGCUCGUAGGUGGUUUGUCGCGUCGUCUGUGAAAUUCCGGGGCUUAACUCCGGGCGUGCAGGCGAUACGGGCAUAACUUGAGUACUGUAGGGGAGACUGGAAUUCCUGGUGUAGCGGUGAAAUGCGCAGAUAUCAGGAGGAACACCGGUGGCGAAAGCGGCUCUCUGGUCUGUAACUGACGCUGAGGCUCGAAAGCGUGGGGAGCGAACAGGAUUAGAUACCCUGGUAGUCCACGCCGUAAACGAUGAGUGCUAGGUGUUAGGCCCUUUCCGGGGCUUAGUGCCGCAGCUAACGCAUUAAGCACUCCGCCUGGGGAGUACGACCGCAAGGUUGAAACUCAAAGGAAUUGACGGGGGCCCGCACAAGCGGUGGAGCAUGUGGUUUAAUUCGAAGCAACGCGAAGAACCUUACCAGGUCUUGACAUCCCGAUGCCCGCUCUAGAGAUAGAGUUUUACUUCGGUACAUCGGUGACAGGUGGUGCAUGGUUGUCGUCAGCUCGUGUCGUGAGAUGUUGGGUUAAGUCCCGCAACGAGCGCAACCCUUAUUGUUAGUUGCCAUCAUUCAGUUGGGCACUCUAGCGAGACUGCCGGUAAUAAACCGGAGGAAGGUGGGGAUGACGUCAAAUCAUCAUGCCCCUUAUGACCUGGGCUACACACGUGCUACAAUGGCUGGUACAACGAGUCGCAAGUCGGUGACGGCAAGCUAAUCUCUUAAAGCCAGUCUCAGUUCGGAUUGUAGGCUGCAACUCGCCUACAUGAAGUCGGAAUCGCUAGUAAUCGCGGAUCAGCACGCCGCGGUGAAUACGUUCCCGGGCCU
RNAcentral lists this ribosomal RNA (1339 nucleotides) under uncultured bacterium. Its description in RNAcentral is "partial 16S ribosomal RNA". It matches the Rfam family "Bacterial small subunit ribosomal RNA", at positions 28 to 1381 of the family's 1533-position model. The record is from RNAcentral.